Molecule: long non-coding RNA, 4041 nt
Organism: Caretta caretta (loggerhead turtle)
Lineage: Eukaryota; Metazoa; Chordata; Testudines; Cheloniidae
Source: RefSeq, a predicted model, not a curated record
UUGGAACACAAUUUUGAGUUACAAUUCAUCAAGCAUAUUCCUAUCCAAACACUGAAGGGUAACGUAAUCAUAAGGAAAGGAGGACUUGUGGCACCUUAGAGACUAACAAAUUUAUUUGAGCAUAAGCUUUCGUGAGCUACAAUGUUAGUCUGUAAGGUGCCACAAGUCCUCCUUUUCUGUUUGCAGAUACAGACUAACACGGUUGCUACUCUGAAAUGUUUCAGAGUAACAGCCGUGUUAGUCUGUAUUCGCAAAAAGAAAAGGAAUACAAGGUGCCACAAGUAUUCCUUACUCUGAAACGUAAUCAUAAGGAGUCACCUUAUGGGUCAGGUGGUAACUCUUUCCAAGACCAGAAAGUUCUGGCAUUAACCACAACUGACACUUUGGGUCACACCCUAGGACACGGAUGUCCAACUUGUGGCCUCCAAGGGCAGCUGUGUGAAAGGAGAAGGCCUGUGUUCCACAACUGUUCAACUUUUUGAACCAACCCCAUUGGUCCGCCAAAGAGUGGUGAUGCAGGGCCUUUGGUGAUGGAGCAGAUGAUGGAAUGGUGGCAUGAAGAACAACAGCAGAUGGAGGAACGAGCAAGUUCCCAACCCCCCGAACCCAUCGGGGUGGGAGAUGAAUUCAUGUGAAAGCAUCUCUGUACUCUGGGUCUCCAUUGACCAAGGACAACAACUUUGCAGGUCAAAGUGAAGAUAAAAAGACCAAAAAAAUUUCUUUCCACUGAAAGGCAUCAGAAACGAACCAAUAUGAAGAACACACCAAGAAUAUACCAACACGUCAGCUGACUGUUCAAGUGCUGUAUCUACAUCUGAACAGCCCAAAGCACAAAUAGUGCUAUCUACUGAAGAAACAGUGUGUACACAACCUGAAGACAGUUCCCGAUGUUUGUCAGUCAAAGUUUUCCCAUUUAUUGAAGUUACAGAAGAUGGUUACUGGUGCACCUCUUGCAAAAAAGCUUAUGAAGAAGAAAAGCUUCCCACUGCUACAACUGGUAAAACUGGAGGAGCUUGGUUUGCCAGACCAAUCACCAAAUUAAUGCUGACAAACUACAUGAAAAGGAUACAAAAUACCAAGCCUCUGGACUGCAUCAACAUGCAGAAAGCCCUAUAAGCCAGUCUCUGUCAAAGCCAAUCUUAAAAGUACUUAAUGAGGCUGUUAAGAAUGCUGGAGACACAACAUAGUUUAUGCAAACAAACAUGGCUGUCAAAUCAUUCUUUCUGUUUAAGCAAGAGAUAUGACACACUACAAACUGGAGCCAGGGCCGUCCUUACCCAUACGCAAAGCACGCAGCUGCGUAGGGCACCACCAAAUUUCCUAGUGCCCUGUGCAGCUGCAUGCUGCUCCAGCCCCUGCUCUGGCUCUUCCCCAGACCCACUCCCACUCCCCUUUAGAUUGCAGCCAGGCCUGAUCCUGCACUCACUGCAUGGUAAGUGGAGCGACCUGGCCCCAGCCUGCUCCGCUCCCCUGGCUCCCAGCCAUGCUGCUGGCGACUGCCGGCGGUUACCCCCUCCCCACAAGCCUGGGAGCCAGGGGAGCAGAGCAGCCUGGGGCCCAAGGCCUCCGCAGGUGGGAGCGGGGGGAUCUGGCCCCAGACCUCCGCGGGGUCACUGUGUGGAGCCCCAGGCCUCUGCGGGGAUGAACACUUCCUGCAGGAAGUGGAGUGACCCAGCCCAAGCGUGCUCCGCUUCCCUGGCUCCCAGGCUUGGGGGGAGGGGGGAACCGCCCGGCGCAGCUGGGAGCCAGGGGAGCAGAGCAGGCUGGGGCCGGGUCACUCCACUUCCCGCAGGAAGUGGCCAGCCCCCGUUCCCCACGGAGGCCUGGGGCCAGCCCCCCCAUGGAGGCCUGGGGUGGGGCACCACACAGCCCCCCCCAGAAGGGGGCUGCAUAGGGCAUCAAAAUAGCUAGGACGGCCCUGACUGGAGGCCAAUGUUAAAUGCAUUGUCACUUGUUAAUCAUGAAGUUAGACACUGGUUCUGAUCAAGACUGGAAAAUGCUCACUAUCUUUCUACAAGAAACUCAACUGACUGGUUAGAAGCACACGGUGCAACAGUGAAAGACUCAGCAGUUGAAAAAACAAAGAACUUUCUCACUGCAUUCAGAAAAUGUGCAUACAUGACUUAUGAAUGCACCAAUGCAAAUAGGCAUCAAGUAUCAAGUCAUUGUGUACGUUAUCUUGAUGUCAGUGGUAGGCCAGUAGAUACAGUCUAGAUGUUCAGGUUAUAAAAGACACAUAAGCUGUAUCUGUGAUAUAUUAAAAGAGUUAAAUGCUUGUAAAUUGAACCCCAAAGAGAUGGCUCGUUGUGCAUUUGAUGGACCUACAACUUCUCUGGAAGACAUAGUGGAGUACAAGUUUUGCUCAGAGAAAAGUGUAACCCUAAUCUUUCCUAUGCACACUGCAGAGGCCAUCUACUUCAGCUAGUGCUAGUACGAGCUGCAGAAUAUUCAAGAGACAUUUAAAAAAAGCCAUAAAUUUAAUGUCUUCGUACUCUUUCUCCCCGGUCAUGUGACUGAACUAAUGAGCAUAUCAAUUGAAGGACUGGAAGUACUGUACAUAUGAGAAGCCACCAAAGAUGAAUGCACUGCAUUGAGAAGUUCAUUAACAGAGUUGUGCAAAAUCACAACAAGAGGCCAAGAAGGAUGUCGAUCUAGGGCUUCAUACAAGGCUUGAAUAGCCAACUUUAAUUUAUGUGAUGAUUUUAAACCAUGAGUGUUCUGUCAAACCUUUUUUUCCAGUUUUUUUUCCCCAUACAGCCCACCUUCACCCUCACAGUUUCAUCCUGGGCCCUCACCCCCCUGUAAAUUCGAACAGUCUUCCCCCCCCCCCCUUUAAAUACAUGGACAACACUGGACCCAGGACAUGCUGGGGCUUUGACUCUGCAGUGAUAGAUGUGCAAUAGGCUUCUGUGCCUAACUGAUGCUCUAGUGACUUCAGUGGGGCACCACGCUGCCACGGGAGACAUGCCCUGGGUUUGAAUCAGGGUCAUGUAGCCAAGGAGGCUGGUUGUCUGUAGGAUUCUUGCCUCAUUUGUUGCAGUAGUUGGAAGGUGUGUAGUGAGUGAGAUGGGAUCACAGGAAGAGAAGGAGGGUCUCAUGGUUAAGGCAAUUCAAUACUGCCCUGGAGAACUGGAUUCUAUCCCUAUCUGUAUCACAGAGUUGCUGUGUGAUGAAGGGUAAGUCACUUACACCAAACCUUUCAUAGGUGGCCACUAAUUGUGUGUUCCAGAUCUGAAAAAGUGUUGAUCGCUCUCAGCUGCAAUUAAGAUCUGUGGGAGCUGUGCUUUGAACAUUUAAAUGCUGCAUAAUGCUGAGUGCUCUGACAAGUCAGGCCCUCAAAACAAACACCCCAAAUUAGUGGACAUUUUAUGUUAAUCUCUGUGUCUCAGAAUAACAAUAUCACUUCACAGAGGUGCUGUGAAAAUAAAUUAUUGAUGUUCAUGAAGGCCUGAUACACCACAGUGAUGGGCACCAUAGAAAUUUCUAGGAGGAAGUUAAUAAUUCUGUCUUCACAGCAGCAUUUGAACAGAGUGCAGUAAACGUGGCCUGGGGCCACCCAUUGAGCAAUGAAGAUAAAACAAAAUAUUGAAUCACAGCUCGUUCAGUGAGCCCCAUCCAUCCUGGGCACUGAAUAAGGAAGGAGUCCUGUGGAAAAAAUAGUUCAUGAUCAUGUAACUAAUAAUUGUAUCCGAUGAAGUGAGCUGUAGCUCACGAAAGCUCAUGCUCAAAUAAAUUGGUUAGUCUCUAAGGUGCCACAAGUACUCCUUUUCUUUUUUGCGAACCACAGGACAAUGGCUCAAGAAAGGGGUGAUAAUGAGCAUAGGGCAGGAAGGAUGGCUUAAUGAGCUGACUUUUGAGGAGUGCUACAAAUCAGAGGGUGCUUGGGGUAUGAGAAUAGGUGUUCCAAGUGUAAGGGGCAACAUGGAAGGAAGCACAAGGGAAAAGAAGGUUGUGAUUGGGGGCAGGGGUAUGUUAGAAAAAAGUAGUACUUUUGCAUUUAAUCUAAAUCAAGAGUCCUUCGCUGCUGUUACGUGAGUGUGG